Molecule: ribosomal RNA, 496 nt
Filed under: uncultured bacterium
Lineage: Bacteria
Description: partial 16S ribosomal RNA
Rfam family: Bacterial small subunit ribosomal RNA
Source: RNAcentral
GGGGGGGGGGGGGGGGGGGGCGAGGGCGGGGAGGGCGGGGGGGGGGGGGAGAAGCGGGCUGCGCGGGUGUUAGCGGGGGACGGGGGGGGAACACGUGGAUAACCUACCUCUAAGACGGGGAUAACUUCGGGAAACCGGAGCUAAGACCGGAUAAUAUUAUGAACAGCAUGGUUCAAAAGUGAAAGACGGUCUUGCUGUCACUUAUAGAUGGAUCAGCGCUGCAUUAGCUAGUUGGUAAGGUAACGGCUUACCAAGGCAACGAUGCAUAGCCGACCUGAGAGGGUGAUCGGCCACACUGGAACUGAGACACGGUCCAGACUCCUACGGGAGGCAGCAGUAGGGAAUCUUCCGCAAUGGGCGAAAGCCUGACGGAGCAACGCCGCGUGAGUGAUGAAGGUCUUCGGAUCGUAAAACUCUGUUAUUAGGGAAGAACAUAUGUGUAAGUAACGGUGCACAUCUUGACGGUACCUAAUCAGAAAGCCACGGCUAACUACGU